This 1724-nucleotide long non-coding RNA is filed under the name Musa acuminata (dwarf banana). Its description in RNAcentral is "long non-coding RNA (MACU_LNC002307)". Lineage: Eukaryota; Viridiplantae; Streptophyta; Magnoliopsida; Zingiberales; Musaceae. The record is from RNAcentral.
AUGCAUCUGGUCGUCUCGAGGAAUGAAGUACGAAUGGCAGUGAUUUCGAAUUUUUAAAUUUUAGAGGAUGGCUUAUUGACAUUUGGGAUGGAUUUUAUGAUGUGGUUUCGUUUAGAUGAGUUGGCUUUGGAUUUUAUGAAUCUUUGAGUGUUGUGUCGUAUGAUUAUAACUAACAAGUCUUAUGAAUUGUGGAUUAUGGGUGUGAAUUAUGACUUGAAUGAUUUUUAGUGUCCUCAAAUUUAGUUAGGAUUUCGUAUUAGAUUGUUGACUGAAUUUUAAUAUUAUGGAUUUUAAGACAGGGUCACACCUUCUGAAUGUGAUAAAUCGGGGGGCGUGACAGAGGUGGUAUUAUAGCAUUAUUUGAGGAUCACUAUAAUAUAGUUGAUACAUUUAAUUAUAUUGAGAUUUAGUAAAUUACAUAGAAAUCGAUGAAAUUUUUCUUUGAUAUCUUUUAGGGAUCUAGGAUGCAUCUGGUCGUCUUGAGGAAUGAAUUACGAUUGGCAGUGAAGUCGAAUUUUUAAAUUUUAGAGGAUGGCUUAUUGACAUUUGGGAUGGAUUUUAUGAUGUGGUUUCGUUUAGAUGAGUUGGCUGUGGAUUUUAUUUUAAGGAUGGGAGAGUGUAAUAUCUCUAAUUUUUAAAAAUUUUGUAAGGGCUUAUUUGUAAUGUAAGGACAUGUUUGUAAAUAUAAUGAUUGUUUAAUAAUUCUUUUGCAAUAAAUAAUUUUAUAUUAUAAGCUUAUUUCCACGGACCUAAAUGUGAACCUUAGCAAUUUGAUAUGAUUUAUGAAAAAUUCAUAUUAAGUUUUAAAAAAAAUAGAGGACAUGUGUCACUUGCUAACCUUAAAAUGGUGCUAGUUAUGUUUGUUCAAUGGACACGUAAGCUUCUUUCAGGCAUGUUUGCUAUCUUGCAAUACUUGUGUUAGUCAAACCUAAGUAAUUAGAGGUGAAAUUAAACGAAAAUUUACCAAAUGAGAGAAACUUGCUGCAACCAAAGUAGGCUUGAUAAGAGAAGAGAAGAGGAAUUGAAGUAGAAGUUUUGCUUUGGCUUGAUGUUUUGGAUCCAUUCCUCACAUUUGGCAAUCAAAUGUUUCCAAGGCUAGUGUUAAAUGUUUUUGUUGUAUAACUACACUUAGCGUCUAACUAAAUGUUGAUGGUAAAUAUGAAUUUGUGUGUUUUGUAGAGGUUUUAAAGGACCUCUAAUGUUUUGAAUUUUGGAAUGUUAAGUUUAAUUUGUAUAAUUAUACGAACUUGUGAUAAAUGUUUGUUUUGUGAUUGUAUGAAUUCUCACACUUGUCGUUUUAUGAUGUAGUUAUCGUUUAAUUGAGUAGACUUUGGAUUUUAUGAAUUAUCGAGUGAUGUGGUGUAUAACUACAUAGGCUUAAGAAUUGUGGAUUAUGAGUGUUAAUUAUGACUUGAUUUCUAGUGUCCUCAAAUGUGGUUUAGAUCCAGGAUUAUAUUGUUGAUUAAAUUUUAAUAUUAUGGAUUUUAAGACAGGGUCACACCUCCUGAAUGUGAUAAUUUGGGAGGCGUGACGGAGGUGGUAGCACAGCAUGAUUUGAGGAUCACUGAGAUAUUUGAUACAUUUGAUGUGCAAAAUUAUAUUGAAGUUUAGUAAUUAUAUAGUGAUCGUUGAAAAUUUUCUUUGAUGUCUUUUAGGAAUUUAGGAUGAUAAGGACUUCUGGUCCACUUGUUUCAUCUUCCUCUGUUGAAUCUAUGGGGCCUUUC